Phyllostomus discolor (pale spear-nosed bat) is the source of this 663-nucleotide long non-coding RNA. RefSeq lists it as uncharacterized. The transcript has 2 exons. The record is from RefSeq and is a predicted model, not a curated record. Lineage: Eukaryota; Metazoa; Chordata; Mammalia; Chiroptera; Phyllostomidae.
GGAGGGCAGAAGGGAAGAAAGAAAGUAGUGUGAGUUUUUAUUUCUGUCCUCUUCCUGCCGCCUCCCCCCACUACAUACACACUUUGAUGAAAACAAAAUCUCUCCCCUUUUUCUCUCCUCCACCUCCCUCCCCCUUUUUCCUGGCUCCUACCAAAAGCCUCCUGGAAUGCAAAUGAGCUGUAUUAUGCAAAUCUAUGCAAAUCGGGCUUAACGAGCGGAAGGAGGAGGCAGAAUGCCUAAUGAGUAAUGGCGGAGGGGUGCAGAUGGAGGGUGGCAGGAAUGACCCCGUCUUCUUCAUUCCCACAGCCUGGAGGCUUGCUAGGGGUAGGAAGUAUCCUUCACUUCUGACUAGGCACAAAGCAAGGCCCUAUCGUUUCAUCUGAGAAGUCCUAGGAUGGCCUUGGCUAUAGUGAUUUUUAAAGGAUUAACCUAAAUCACUUAUCUCCUAGGGAAGUUGGCAUACCCACUUCUGGAUGAGACAGUGCCACAAUACCCCAAGAUCUCUGAGGUCUCAACAGCAAAGGAAAGAAGGUGGGAAGGUCAAUCAGGUUAUGAGGAAGGUGAAGAAAUAAGUAUCAAUAUUCCAGCUCCCAAACCUUGGAAACUGCAGACUUCAAGAAGGAUGUCCAGAUGAAGAAUGCAGAGGGGCCAGUGCUUUUCUGG